CUGUACGCGGCGAAAGAGCAUGUGGAACGGAAGCAUACUUGGAAUACCUAUGAUUCACAUUCAUCAUAUAAAAGUAUACUUACACAACGGGGAUAUUAGACAGCACGUUAACAAAGUCUCAAAGAGUCUGUGCGCUGAUUUAUUGGUGUCUAAAAGGAAACAAGACAAUUGGAUACAAAGCUAUAAGUAGAGCAACCAAUUCUCGCCCACAAGAAAGUCCACGAACACCAAGUAAUUGUAGAACAGCCAAACAACGCCAACCACGAUCCUGAGCCAAAUACUUCCUCAGUCUAACAAGUUCGUCCCCGUCGAUUCUCUUUGCGCAAAGUUCAUGAACAUCAGACAGCAGCUCGCAGGCUAUAAGGGUAGAUACACCACCACCGCCGACCAAACUGGAAUGGAUAUUUUCAUAUUGG
RNAcentral lists this unclassified non-coding RNA (416 nucleotides) under Bombus terrestris (buff-tailed bumblebee). RNAcentral's name for it is "misc RNA ENSBTSG00005020300.1". The record is from RNAcentral. Lineage: Eukaryota; Metazoa; Arthropoda; Insecta; Hymenoptera; Apidae.